GUCCAAGGCGUUGCGGAGAUGGUUAAAAAAGUUGGCUGCAGAAUACAGAUUCUGGGAAGACACGGGAGGGAGAGGAGGAGCUGGUUCAGGAGAGGGGGCAGCAGGGCAGCUGAAGACCCCCCGCUGGUUCUGCCCCCAGGACUUCUUCUUCCUCUGCCUUCUUCCUCUGACCAGCUCAUCAUGUCAGAAUCUGAGCAGUUGGUUCCUCGUUACUAUCAGAGAUGGGCCAGCCAGAAGCCUGGAACCUUCAGCCGGAGCUUCCGUUUAGGAGUGAACGUGCGGGUCCCCCCUUCCCACUGCCGGGGUUCACAGUUUCUCCGCUUCCCGAGUUCUCAGGAAUUGUAAGAGGGGACUAGAAACCCCAUUCCUGCCACCUGCUACCUCACAGCCACUGGGACACGGAGCAUAUUAUUCCAGGCCAGUGGAUUUUGAGAACACCGUGUUUGCAUCCAGCCCACCAGCAUGGACUUCCAAAGGAUAGGCCAUGAAUCAAAGUCAUGGCUCUUCUUCAUUCAAGGAAUUGCUAGGGAUGAAGACAACUCUUUCAGAUGAGGGUAGUUGAGUCUGGGGCUUGGCAGCCCCAGGUGAUGGAGAGAAAGAAGCCAGAAGAAACUUUCCAUCUGAAUUCACUGGGCGGAAGACGGGAGGAGGCAAGCAUGUGGAGUGGCUGUAAAACGUCUUCGCACUCUGCCCUCUCCUGGCUGGCCUUGUUUGGAAUUCUGAGCUAAUUGCCAAGGACUGUGAAAUACACAUAAACUCGAACUUCACUGGAAAAGAAAAAAACUGAAGAACAUCCACCCACACCCAACCACUCACCUCACCCGCUCUGAGCUUUUUCUACCUCUGGUCUGGAAUGCCCUUUCUCAUCUGAUGGCUCAUCUAUCAACUCCCACCUUCUCUAGGAGCUUUCUUUAGCGACCAGGAUCUCACUUUCAAGCCGCUCAUGCCCAUGGAGCUCAAGCAUUUGCGGAUACUUCCCAUCCACCCCCUCGCCCACCCGGCUCAGUGCCAGGUCUGGUGCAGGCACCCGGGAGGGCUCCAGGCUGGUGAGUCUGUCUUAGUCCUCUCCUUCUGAAGUGGUGUGUUGCAUUUCAGAGUUUUCUGGACAGACGUGGACAUAUAUGUGAAGGCAGAGACGUGAGCACAGAAUGACAUGAACAAAUACAUAGAGAUAGCAAACAGACGGAGAUCUCCACGUAUGCACAGACAUGUAAACAGGCAGGUGAAGACUCAGAGGUUUGGAGCUUUUCAGGUGCAUUUCAUGUUGAAUUUGCUGACCCAGGAGUCUGACAAGAACCCUGGUUUUCUUCUUCUGUACAAUUAAAGAAAAAAAAAGUUGUCAACAAUAAAAUAUCCUCUCUAU
Molecule: long non-coding RNA, 1363 nt
Organism: Mustela lutreola (European mink)
Lineage: Eukaryota; Metazoa; Chordata; Mammalia; Carnivora; Mustelidae
Exons: 3
Source: RefSeq, a predicted model, not a curated record